UCGCAAUCUCCCACCCAGUCGUCGCACAGUUAACAUCCCUGUUUGUUCGACGGUCGGUCGGUCGGUCGGGUGGUUCAAUCAGCGCAACCAGCGCCAACGGUGAGAAGCGAAGACAACGCGGAAGAGAGCGAGAGGCGGCGCGCGAUGGUGGUUGGUGAGAGUGAGCGAACGAUUGCGAGGAGAGACCGUCGCCGUCGAACACGCGACUUACGUGACGCAGUGUGACGUCAUAGCAGGCUGAUUGGAAUCGAAUGAAGUGUGCGGUGCUCUGAUGAGCGGGUGAGAGAACAGAGAGCGAAUCGAGCGAGCUUUCGCUCGCGAUUUCAUCGCGAAGAAGCUAAAACCUUACGGCGGACGGGCGGUUGCGUUCAGUUGAGCGCCGUACACGUUCGAAGCAGGUCGCGUUCCGUUAGCAAGCCUCUUGCCUCCUCAGUGUGGUGUGGUGGUGUUGUGCUGCUCUACUCUACUCUACAUUCAUCGUAACAUCCCCCUCACAAUACGAGCCUCUUGAGAAUAGAGUGUAAGAUUUUUCCCCCCUCGAUCGAAGAAAAAUGACAGUGUGAGAAGAAGCGAAACGAAGAAGAGCAGAGAGCGCGUGUAGAGAAGAAGCAAGGAAGGAAAGGAAAGUGUUGUAGGAAAAUCGAUUUUACGAAAGUGCGAGAAAGUGGAAGAAAGCUGGUGAACGGAGGAGGUCCUAAGGAGUAACGAACACUACCACCCCGCCCCAGUCAGCGGCCCAACCCCCAGCCGAGAAGGAAGGAUCCCUGCGCCCCAGGAGCAUCCCCCCUUCGCGAGCACCUCCCCCUGCUUCGACUAGGAAGUUGAAGUUGUCAAACAGGAGUUGAAAAA
Molecule: long non-coding RNA, 849 nt
Organism: Aedes albopictus (Asian tiger mosquito)
Lineage: Eukaryota; Metazoa; Arthropoda; Insecta; Diptera; Culicidae
Exons: 2
Source: RefSeq, a predicted model, not a curated record